RNAcentral lists this ribosomal RNA (161 nucleotides) under uncultured bacterium. Its description in RNAcentral is "partial 16S ribosomal RNA". It matches the Rfam family "Bacterial small subunit ribosomal RNA", at positions 358 to 511 of the family's 1533-position model. The record is from RNAcentral.
GGAAUCUUCCACAAUGGACGCAAGUCUGAUGGAGCAACGCCGCGUGAGUGAAGAAGGGUUUCGGCUCGUAAAGCUCUGUUGUUAAAGAAGAACACGUAUGAGAGUAACUGUUCAUACGUUGACGGUAUUUAACCAGAAAGUCACGGCUAACUACGUGCCAG